CUUUCGGAGCUGUGCGGCAUUCUGAGCAGGAAUGGCAGUGUGGACCUCUGUGAUGGGACAUCUUGUGGGAUCUCACAGCCAGUUCUGUGGCAAAGGAGGAUGAAGGCUUACGAGGACUCGUCAGGAAGCUGGAUAACAGAGCGAGCGCAAUGUGCUAGAAUAGAAGACCAGAAAAUGAAAUGGGCUCCUGUGACAAGUGGACAUGCAGUGACUGCACCUUUGUUUCUGAGGUGCCUGGAUGGAGGCUCAAAUAGAAGAUGGUGUCAGAUAUAUUGUGUUAAAAUUUUACCAUUAAAGUGUAUUAUAACAUGAA
RNAcentral lists this long non-coding RNA (313 nucleotides) under Mus musculus (house mouse). Its description in RNAcentral is "growth arrest specific 5". Lineage: Eukaryota; Metazoa; Chordata; Mammalia; Rodentia; Muridae. The record is from RNAcentral.